Fopius arisanus is the source of this 233-nucleotide long non-coding RNA. RefSeq lists it as uncharacterized. NCBI's taxonomy places the organism in Eukaryota, Metazoa, Arthropoda, Insecta, Hymenoptera, Braconidae. The transcript is spliced from 3 exons. The record is from RefSeq and is a predicted model, not a curated record.
AUAAAAAAAAAUGUCACCAUUAUUUUUUUCAAAUCCAUUCAAAUUUUUCCAGGCAUUGGUUAACGAUCAUUUUUGAAGAAACUCCACCGAUAGAAUGGCAGCAUUCGAUGGGGCUACUCGGUGUUGUACUGAAUAUUUUUCGAAUAUCUUCUCUCUCCCAUCCAUGGAUCCAGUGGCAACUCUGGUGUGGUGGGACGGUGAGAACCUGACCACAACUACCUCGGCGUCGUGGC